GACGAACGCUGGCGGCGUGCUUAACACAUGCAAGUCGAACGGAAAGGCCCUGCUUUUGUGGGGUGCUCGAGUGGCGAACGGGUGAGUAACACGUGAGUAACCUGCCCCUGACUUUGGGAUAACUUCAGGCAACUGGGGCUAAUACCGGAUAGGAGCUCCUGCUGCAUGGUGGGGGUUGGAAAGUUUCGGCGGUUGGGGAUGGACUCGCGGCUUAUCAGCUUGUUGGUGGGGUAGUGGCUUACCAAGGCUUUGACGGGUAGCCGGCCUGCGAGGGGGACAGGCCACAUUGGGACUGAGAUACGGCCCAGACUCGUACGGGAGGCAGGAGUGGGGAAGAUUGCACAAUGGGCGGAAGCCUGGUGCAGCAACGCCGCGUGCGGGAUGACGGCCUUCGGGUUGUAAACCGCUUUCGCCUGUGACGAAGCGUGAGUGACGGUAAUGGGUAAAGAAGCACCGGCUAACUACGUG
RNAcentral lists this ribosomal RNA (468 nucleotides) under uncultured bacterium. RNAcentral describes it as "partial 16S ribosomal RNA". It matches the Rfam family "Bacterial small subunit ribosomal RNA", at positions 28 to 507 of the family's 1533-position model. The record is from RNAcentral.